This 146-nucleotide microRNA precursor is filed under the name Canis lupus familiaris (dog). RNAcentral describes it as "miRNA (ENSCAFG00845024671.1)". The stretch from base 25 to 121 matches the Rfam family "mir-8813 microRNA precursor family". The record is from RNAcentral. Lineage: Eukaryota; Metazoa; Chordata; Mammalia; Carnivora; Canidae.
UCCCAGGUCGCUUUUCACAGACCCUGGUGACCUGAGGCUCCCUGGCUGUCACUCUGUCCCAGGCCCUCCUGGCCCAUGGGGCACAGGCUGAGUCUCAGUAUAGUCUGUGGGGUCCUGACCCUGGCAUCUGGCCGCCCCUGGAAGGC